RNAcentral lists this unclassified non-coding RNA (205 nucleotides) under Hevea brasiliensis (rubber tree). Lineage: Eukaryota; Viridiplantae; Streptophyta; Magnoliopsida; Malpighiales; Euphorbiaceae. The record is from RNAcentral.
GGUUUCUAUUGAAGCGCACCACUGUUUGACUACUGUGUUAUCUCAGUAUGAUCCAUUCAGAUGUCUUACUGUCAUUGUACCUUUAUUGGUCACUGAUGAUGAAAAGACACUAGUCAUUUGCAUAAAUUGUCUGACAAAGCUUGUGAGUCGGCUGUCACAAGAAGAACUGAUGACUCAAUUGCCUUCCUUUCUUCCUGCACUUUUU